AGUGAACGCUGGCGGUAGGCCUAACACAUGCAAGUCGAACGGCAGCACAGUAAGAGCUUGCUCUUACGGGUGGCGAGUGGCGGACGGGUGAGGAAUACAUCGGAAUCUACUUUUUCGUGGGGGAUAACGUAGGGAAAGUUACGCUAAUACCGCAUACGACCUACGGGUGAAAGCAGGGGAGCUUCGGACCUUGCGCGAUUGAAUGAGCCGAUGUCGGAUUAGCUAGUUGGCGGGGUAAAGGCCCACCAAGGCGACGAUCCGUAGCUGGUCUGAGAGGAUGAUCAGCCACACUGGAACUGAGACACGGUCCAGACUCCUACGGGAGGCAGCAGUGGGGAAUAUUGGACAAUGGGCGCAAGCCUGAUCCAGCCAUACCGCGUGGGUGAAGAAGGCCUUCGGGUUGUAAAGCCCUUUUGUUGGGAAAGAAAAGCAGCAGGUUAAUACCCCGCUGUUCUGACGGUACCCAAAGAAUAAGCACCGGCUAACUUCGUG
Molecule: ribosomal RNA, 492 nt
Filed under: uncultured bacterium
Lineage: Bacteria
Description: partial 16S ribosomal RNA
Rfam family: Bacterial small subunit ribosomal RNA
Source: RNAcentral